UAUUUAGAGAGAAAGAGAGAGAGAUAAACCUAUCUCCUAGAAUUAGAAGGGACCCUGGGUCAUUGAGUCCAGCCCCCUGCCUUCACUAGCAGGACCAAGUACUGGUUAU
Molecule: non-coding RNA, 109 nt
Organism: Chelonoidis abingdonii (Abingdon island giant tortoise)
Lineage: Eukaryota; Metazoa; Chordata; Testudines; Testudinidae
Source: RefSeq, a predicted model, not a curated record